AGUGAACGCUGGCGGUAGGCCUAACACAUGCAAGUCGAACGGCAGCACCGUAAGAGCUUGCUCUUCCGGGUGGCGAGUGGCGGACGGGUGAGGAAUACAUCGGAAUCUACUUUUUCGUGGGGGAUCACGUAGGGAAACUUACGCUAAUACCGCAUACGACCUACGGGUGAAAGCAGGGGAUCUUCGGACCUUGCGCGAUUGAAUGCGCCGAUGUCGGACUAGCUAGUUGGCGGGGUAAAGGCCCACCAAGGCGACGAUCCGUAGCUGGGCUGAGAGGAUGAUCAGCCCCACUGGAGCUGAGACACGGUCCAGACUCCUACGGGAGGCAGCAGUGGGGAAUAUUGGAAAAUGGGCGCAAGCCUGAUCCAGCCAUACCGCGUGGGUGAAGAAGGCCUUCGGGUUGUAAAGCCCUUUUGUUGGGAAAGAAAAGCAGCAGGUUAAUACCCCGCUGUUCUGACGGUACCCAAAGAAUAAGCACCGGCUAACUUCGU
Molecule: ribosomal RNA, 491 nt
Filed under: uncultured bacterium
Lineage: Bacteria
Description: partial 16S ribosomal RNA
Rfam family: Bacterial small subunit ribosomal RNA
Source: RNAcentral